CCUACGGGAGGCUGCAGUGGGGAAUAUUGCACAAUGGGGGAAACCCUGAUGCAGCGACGCCGCGUGAGUGAAGAAGUAAUUCGUUAUGUAAAGCUCUAUCAGCAGGGAAGAAAAUGACGGUACCUGAGUAAGAAGCCCCGGCUAACUCCGUGCCAGCAGCCGCGGUAAUACGGAGGAUGCGAGCGUUAUCCGGAUUUAUUGGGUUUAAAGGGUGCGUAGGCGGGAUGCCAAGUCAGCGGUAAAAAUGCGGUGCUCAACGCCGUCGAGCCGUUGAAACUGGCGUUCUUGAGUGGGCGAGAAGUAUGCGGAAUGCGUGGUGUAGCGGUGAAAUGCAUAGAUAUCACGCAGAACUCCGAUUGCGAAGGCAGCAUACCGGCGCCCUACUGACGCUGAGGCACGAAAGCGUGGGUAUCGAACAGGAUUAGAUACCCCAGUAGUC
Molecule: ribosomal RNA, 439 nt
Filed under: uncultured bacterium
Lineage: Bacteria
Description: partial 16S ribosomal RNA
Rfam family: Bacterial small subunit ribosomal RNA
Source: RNAcentral